This 497-nucleotide ribosomal RNA is filed under the name uncultured bacterium. Its description in RNAcentral is "partial 16S ribosomal RNA". It matches the Rfam family "Bacterial small subunit ribosomal RNA", at positions 28 to 507 of the family's 1533-position model. The record is from RNAcentral.
GAUGAACGCUGGCGGCGUGCCUAAUACAUGCAAGUCGAGCGAACAGACGAGGAGCUUGCUCCUCUGACGUUAGCGGCGGACGGGUGAGUAACACGUGGAUAACCUACCUAUAAGACUGGGAUAACUUCGGGAAACCGGAGCUAAUACCGGAUAAUAUAUUGAACCGCAUGGUUCAAUAGUGAAAGACGGUUUUGCUGUCACUUAUAGAUGGAUCCGCGCCGCAUUAGCUAGUUGGUAAGGUAACGGCUUACCAAGGCGACGAUGCGUAGCCGGCCUGAGAGGGUGAUCGGCCACACUGGAACUGAGACACGGUCCAGACUCCUACGGGAGGCAGCAGUAGGGAAUCUUGCGCAAUGGGCGAAAGCCUGACGGAGCAACGCCGCGUGAGUGAUGAAGGUCUUCGGAUCGUAAAACUCUGUUAUUAGGGAAGAACAAAUGUGUAAGUAACUAUGCACGUCUUGACGGUACCUAAUCAGAAAGCCACGGCUAACUACGUG